UGGCUCAGGAUGAACGCUGGCGGCGUGCCUAAUACAUGCAAGUCGAGCGAACGGACGAGAAGCUUGCUUCUCUGAUGUUAGCGGCGGACGGGUGAGUAACACGUGGAUAACCUACCUAUAAGACUGGGAUAACUUCGGGAAACCGGAGCUAAUACCGGAUAAUAUUUUGAACCGCAUGGUUCAAAAGUGAAAGACGGUCUUGCUGUCACUUAUAGAUGGAUCCGCGCUGCAUUAGCUAGUUGGUAAGGUAACGGCUUACCAAGGCAACGAUGCAUAGCCGACCUGAGAGGGUGAUCGGCCACACUGGAACUGAGACACGGUCCAGACUCCUACGGGAGGCAGCAGUAGGGAAUCUUCCGCAAUGGGCGAAAGCCUGACGGAGCAACGCCGCGUGAGUGAUGAAGGUCUUCGGAUCGUAAAACUCUGUUAUUAGGGAAGAACAUAUGUGUAAGUAACUGUGCACAUCUUGACGGUACCUAAUCAGAAAGCCACGGCUAACUACGUGCCAGCAGCCGCGGUAAUACGUAGGUGGCAAGCGUUAUCCGGAAUUAUUGGGCGUAAAGCGCGCGUAGGCGGUUUUUUAAGUCUGAUGUGAAAGCCCACGGCUCAACCGUGGAGGGUCAUUGGAAACUGGAAAACUUGAGUGCAGAAGAGGAAAGUGGAAUUCCAUGUGUAGCGGUGAAAUGCGCAGAGAUAUGGAGGAACACCAGUGGCGAAGGCGACUUUCUGGUCUGUAACUGACGCUGA
This 747-nucleotide ribosomal RNA is filed under the name Staphylococcus aureus. RNAcentral describes it as "bacterial SSU rRNA". It matches the Rfam family "Bacterial small subunit ribosomal RNA", at positions 20 to 749 of the family's 1533-position model. Lineage: Bacteria; Bacillati; Bacillota; Bacilli; Caryophanales; Staphylococcaceae. The record is from RNAcentral.